CCUACGGGCUGCAGCAGUGGGGAAUAUUGGACAAUGGGCGAAAGCCUGAUCCAGCCAUGCCGCGUGUGUGAAGAAGGCCUUCGGGUUGUAAAGCACUUUCAGUGGGGAAGAAAGCCUUGGGGCUAAUACCCUCGAGGAAGGACAUCACCCACAGAAGAAGCACCGGCUAACUCCGUGCCAGCAGCCGCGGUAAUACGGAGGGUGCGAGCGUUAAUCGGAAUUACUGGGCGUAAAGCGCGCGUAGGCGGUCUGAUAAGCCGGUUGUGAAAGCCCCGGGCUCAACCUGGGAACGGCAUCCGGAACUGUCAGGCUAGAGUGCAGGAGAGGAAGGUAGAAUUCCCGGUGUAGCGGUGAAAUGCGUAGAGAUCGGGAGGAAUACCAGUGGCGAAGGCGGCCUUCUGGACUGACACUGACGCUGAGGUGCGAAAGCGUGGGUAGCAGACAGGAUUAGAUACCCCGGUAGUC
This 465-nucleotide ribosomal RNA is filed under the name Vreelandella stevensii. RNAcentral describes it as "partial 16S ribosomal RNA". It matches the Rfam family "Bacterial small subunit ribosomal RNA", at positions 338 to 795 of the family's 1533-position model. The record is from RNAcentral. Lineage: Bacteria; Pseudomonadati; Pseudomonadota; Gammaproteobacteria; Oceanospirillales; Halomonadaceae.